RNAcentral lists this ribosomal RNA (513 nucleotides) under Orbilia oligospora. Its description in RNAcentral is "SSU rRNA". It matches the Rfam family "Eukaryotic small subunit ribosomal RNA", at positions 52 to 568 of the family's 1831-position model. The record is from RNAcentral. Lineage: Eukaryota; Fungi; Ascomycota; Orbiliomycetes; Orbiliales; Orbiliaceae.
UGUGAGUCGUGGUGCAUCAGCCUCUAUACAGUGAAACUGCGAAUGGCUCAUUAAAUCAGUUAUCGUUUAUUUGAUAGUACCUUACUACUUGGAUAACCGUGGUAAUUCUAGAGCUAAUACAUGCUAAAAAUCCCGACCUCCGGAAGGGAUGUAUUUAUUAGAUAAAAAACCAAUGCCUUCGGGCUCCUUGGUGAUUCAUGAUAACUUAACGAAUCGCAUGGCCUUGCGCCGGCGAUGGUUCAUUCAAAUUUCUGCCCUAUCAACUUUCGAUGGUAGGAUAGUGGCCUACCAUGGUUUCAACGGGUAACGGGGAAUUAGGGUUCGAUUCCGGAGAGGGAGCCUGAGAAACGGCUACCACAUCCAAGGAAGGCAGCAGGCGCGCAAAUUACCCAAUCCCGAUUCGGGGAGGUAGUGACAAUAAAUACUGAUACAGGGCUCUUUUGGGUCUUGUAAUUGGAAUGAGUACAAUUUAAAUCCCUUAACGAGGAACAAUUGGAGGGCAAGUCUGGCCCC